RNAcentral lists this unclassified non-coding RNA (518 nucleotides) under uncultured Glomeromycotina. RNAcentral's name for it is "SSU rRNA". It matches the Rfam family "Eukaryotic small subunit ribosomal RNA", at positions 571 to 1092 of the family's 1831-position model. The record is from RNAcentral. Lineage: Eukaryota; Fungi; Glomeromycota.
CAGCCGCGUAAUUCCAGCUCCAAUAGCGUAUAUUAAAGUUGUUGCAGUUAAAAAGCUCGUAGUUGAAUUUCGGGAUCAGUUGGUCGGUCGUGCCUCGGUACGUACUGGUCAAAUUGAUUCCUACCUUCUGACGAACCACGAUGUCAUUAAUUUGGUGUCGUGGGGAAUCAGGACUGUUACUUUGAAAAAAUUAGAGUGUUUAAAGCAGGCUCGCGCUUGAAUACAUUAGCAUGGAAUAAUGAAAUAGGACGUUUGAUUCUAUUUUGUUGGUUUCUAGGAUCGACGUAAUGAUUAAUAGGGAUAGUUGGGGGCAUUAGUAUUCAAUUGUCAGAGGUGAAAUUCUUGGAUUUAUUGAAGACUAACUACUGCGAAAGCAUUUGCCAAGGAUGUUUUCAUUAAUCAAGAACGAAAGUUAGGGGAUCGAAGACGAUCAGAUACCGUCGUAGUCUUAACCAUAAACUAUGCCGACUAGGGAUCGGAUGAUGUUAAUUUUUUAAUGACUCAUUCGGCGCCUUACG